Molecule: unclassified non-coding RNA, 1753 nt
Filed under: Hevea brasiliensis (rubber tree)
Lineage: Eukaryota; Viridiplantae; Streptophyta; Magnoliopsida; Malpighiales; Euphorbiaceae
Source: RNAcentral
CUCCAACAUUCUUGGUGAAUGCAGAUCAGUUGGAAAUCAAAAUUGCACAAGGUGCCAAGCCUGGUGAAGGUGGCCAAUUGCCUGGGAAGAAAGUUAGUGCAUAUAUUGCAAGGUUGAGAAAUUCUAAACCAGGGGUUCCGCUUAUAUCUCCACCUCCACACCACGAUAUCUAUUCCAUUGAAGAUCUUGCCCAAUUGAUCUAUGACCUUCAUCAGGUCAACCCUAAGGCUAAGGUGUCUGUAAAGCUUGUGGCGGAAGCUGGUAUUGGUACAGUUGCUUCUGGGGUUGCAAAGGGUAAUGCUGAUAUUAUACAGAUAUCUGGGCAUGAUGGUGGAACAGGAGCUAGCCCUAUAAGCUCUAUUAAGCAUGCUGGUGGUCCUUGGGAACUUGGACUAACAGAAACUCAUCAGACUCUCAUUGAAAAUGGACUCAGAGAAAGGGUAAUUAUUAGGGUUGAUGGUGGCUUUAGAAGUGGAGUCGAUGUCAUGAUGGCCGCAGCAAUGGGUGCUGAUGAGUAUGGAUUUGGAUCUGUGGCAAUGAUUGCUACUGGAUGUGUUAUGGCUCGCAUUUGUCACACUAAUAAUUGUCCUGUUGGUGUUGCCAGUCAGAGAGAAGAACUGCGUGCACGUUUUCCUGGUGUGCCUGGAGAUCUUGUUAAUUACUUCUUGUACGUUGCUGAGGAGGUAAGAGGCACACUGGCACAAUUGGGUUACGAGAAGUUGGAUGAUGUUAUUGGGCGAACAGAUUUAUUGAGACCACGUGACAUUUCCCUAGUGAAAACUCAGCAUCUUGAUCUCAGUUAUAUUCUUUCAAGUGUUGGGUUACCAAAAUGGAGCAGCACUGAAAUCAGGAAUCAAGGUGCUCAUAGUAAUGGUCCAGUUUUGGAUGAUGUUCUACUUGCCGAUCCAGAGAUCUUGGACGCUAUUGAGAAUGAAAAAGUUGUCAAUAAAACUAUAAAGAUAUACAAUGUGGACCGUGCUGUUUGUGGGCGUGUAGCAGGUGUGGUUGCAAAGAAAUAUGGGGACACUGGUUUUGCUGGGCAGCUGAACAUAACGUUUACUGGGAGUGCAGGGCAGUCAUUUGCAUGCUUUUUGACACCUGGAAUGAACAUUCGGCUUGUUGGAGAGGCUAACGAUUAUGUGGGUGGGAAAGGGUAUGGCUGGGGGGGAGUUGGUUGUAACUCCUGUGGAGAACACUGGGUUUUGCCCUGAGGAUGCAACUAUAGUUGGGAACACAUGCUUAUAUGGGGCAACAGGUGGCCAAGUAUUUGUUAGAGGAAAAGCUGGGGAGCGGUUUGCUGUCAGAAACUCGCUUGCUCAAGCAGUAGUUGAAGGCACAGGAGACCAUUGCUGCGAGUAUAUGACUGGUGGUUGUGUGGUUGUUCUUGGAAAAGUGGGUAGAAAUGUAGCAGCUGGGAUGACUGGUGGCCUGGCAUACAUUCUUGAUGAAGAUGAUACUCUAAUGCCCAAGGUAAAUAAAGAAAUAGUGAAGGUCCAACGAGUGACUGCUCCCGUUGGCCAGAUGCAACUGAAGAGCCUUAUUGAAGCACAUGUUGAAAAAACUGGCAGCCGUAAAGGCGCUGCUAUUCUGAAGGAAUGGGAUACAUAUCUACCGCUAUUUCGGCAGUUGGUUCCACCUAGUGAAGAAGACACCCCAGAGGCUUGUGCAGAGUAUCAGGCAACUGUUGCUGGGCAAGUGACAUUCCAGUCUGCCUAGGAUAUCAAUGCAAGAUAUCCCCACGAACAGCUGUGAA